GACGAACGCUGGCGGCGUGCUUAACACAUGCAAGUCGAACGGUAAGGCCCUUCGGGGUACACGAGUGGCGAACGGGUGAGUAACACGUGGGUGAUCUGCCCCGCACUUCGGGAUAAGCCUGGGAAACUGGGUCUAAUACCGGAUAGGACUCCUGCCUGCAUGGGUGGGGGUGGAAAGCUUUUGCGGUGUGGGAUGGGCCCGCGGCCUAUCAGCUUGUUGGUGGGGUGAUGGCCUACCAAGGCGACGACGGGUAGCCGGCCUGAGAGGGUGACCGGCCACACUGGGACUGAGAUACGGACCAGACUCCUACGGGAGGCAGCAGUGGGGAAUAUUGCACAAUGGGCGCAAGCCUGAUGCAGCGACACCGCGUGAGGGAUGACGGCCUUCGGGUUGUAAACCUCUUUCAGCACAGACGAAGCGCAAGUGACGGUAUGUGCAGAAGAAGGACCGGCCAACUACGUGCCAGCAGCGCCGUAA
RNAcentral lists this ribosomal RNA (477 nucleotides) under uncultured bacterium. Its description in RNAcentral is "partial 16S ribosomal RNA". It matches the Rfam family "Bacterial small subunit ribosomal RNA", at positions 28 to 523 of the family's 1533-position model. The record is from RNAcentral.